AGCAGCAGUGGGAAUAUUGCACAAUGGGCGAAAGCCUGAUGCAGCGACGCCGCGUGAGGGAUGACGGCCUUCGGGUUGUAAACCUCUUUCAGCAGGGACGAAGCGAGAGUGACGGUACCUGCAGAAGAAGCACCGGCCAACCACGUGCCAGCAGCCGCGGUAAUACGUAGGGUGCGAGCGUUGUCCGGAAUUACUGGGCGUAAAGAGCUCGUAGGCGGUUUGUCGCGUCGUCCGUGAAAACUUGGGGCUCAACCCCAAGCUUGCGGGCGAUACGGGCAGACUUGAGUACUGCAGGGGAGACUGGAAUUCCUGGUGUAGCGGUGAAAUGCGCAGAUAUCAGGAGGAACACCGGUGGCGAGGGCGGGUCUCUGGGCAGUAACUGACGCUGAGGAGCGAAAGCGUGGGUAGCGAACAGGAUUAGAUACCCUGGUAGUCCACGCCGUAAACGGUGGGCGCUAGGUGUGGGUUUCCUUCCACGGGAUCCGUGCCGUAGCUAACGCAUUAAGCGCCCCGCCUGGGGAGUACGGCCGCAAGGCUAAAACUCAAAGGAAUUGACGGGGCCCGCACAAGC
Molecule: ribosomal RNA, 571 nt
Filed under: Rhodococcus (subgen. Prescottella) equi
Lineage: Bacteria; Bacillati; Actinomycetota; Actinomycetes; Mycobacteriales; Nocardiaceae
Description: Prescottella equi bacterial SSU rRNA
Rfam family: Bacterial small subunit ribosomal RNA
Source: RNAcentral